AGCAGCCGCGGUAAUACGGAGGGUGCAAGCGUUAUCCGGAUUUAUUGGGUUUAAAGGGUCCGUAGGCGGAUGCGUAAGUCAGUGGUGAAAUCUCACAGCUCAACUGUGAAACUGCCAUUGAUACUGCGUGUCUUGAGUGAGGUUGAAGUAGCUGGAAUAAGUAGUGUAGCGGUGAAAAGCUAGAUAUUACUUAGAACACCAAUCGCCAAAGCAGGUUACAAAAUCUCAUCUGACGCUGAUGGAAAAAAGCGUGGGGAGCGAACUG
This 265-nucleotide ribosomal RNA is filed under the name uncultured bacterium. RNAcentral's name for it is "partial 16S ribosomal RNA". It matches the Rfam family "Bacterial small subunit ribosomal RNA", at positions 510 to 775 of the family's 1533-position model. The record is from RNAcentral.